CAAUGGGAAGAUGUUACAGAAAGGAAGGUAAAUAAACAGCGGUGUCAGAAUCAGCCCAGCAGGGGCUCCUGGUAUCUCUGACCCUGGUUCCAACAUCUACAAAAUCCUUCCUUCCAAGAUGGACUUUCACGUCUUCAGAACACAGCCACAUUAAACAGAUUAGGAAGCAACCACUUCAACCUUCUCCUUCCCUAUGAGUUCAUCAUUGCUUUUGAUUUCUUAACUGUGCAGGCUUGCUUUUAUGGUGACAGUGGGGUUCCAAGAGAGUGAGAAGAGAGCAAGAGUGAGAAGAAAGCAAGAGUUCUUCAGGCUUAACUUUGGGACUUGCAGCUAUCAUUUCCACUGAUUCUACUGGCCAAACCAACUCACUAAGCCACUCUGCUUUGUGAUGCAAGGAACUGCAAUGUCACAUUGCAAGGGAU
Suricata suricatta (meerkat) is the source of this 422-nucleotide long non-coding RNA. RefSeq lists it as uncharacterized. The transcript is spliced from 3 exons. Lineage: Eukaryota; Metazoa; Chordata; Mammalia; Carnivora; Herpestidae. The record is from RefSeq and is a predicted model, not a curated record.